UACAGAGGGUGCGAGCGUUUUCCGGAAUCACUGGGCGUAAAGGGCGCGUAGGCGGCCCGAUAAGUAGGGGGUGAAAUCUUGCGGCUCAACCGCAAGGCUGCCUUCUAGACUGUCGGGCUUGAGCACAGUAGAGGCAGGUGGAAUUCCCGGUGUAGCGGUGGAAUGCGUAGAGAUCGGGAAGAACAUCGGUGGCGAAGGCGGCCUGCUGGGCUGUUGCUGACGCUGAGGCGCGACAGCGUGGGGAGCAAACAGG
RNAcentral lists this ribosomal RNA (253 nucleotides) under uncultured bacterium. RNAcentral's name for it is "partial 16S ribosomal RNA". It matches the Rfam family "Bacterial small subunit ribosomal RNA", at positions 524 to 776 of the family's 1533-position model. The record is from RNAcentral.